RNAcentral lists this long non-coding RNA (1804 nucleotides) under Homo sapiens (human). RNAcentral's name for it is "synapse stability regulating cerebellar lncRNA". Lineage: Eukaryota; Metazoa; Chordata; Mammalia; Primates; Hominidae. The record is from RNAcentral.
CUCGCCGUGAGUCGACGAAGGGAGCGCGGGCGCGCGCCCGCGUCCGCGCACUGAGAGUCGCCUCGGCCGCUCGCUUUCUCGACUCCCGCCUCGCGCCUCGAUCCUGUUCCGCCUCCCUCGGCCCUCCUGCCCGCCCCCACUCGUCGGCCCUCAGCAUUGUCUUUGAAUAUUAGCAAAUAAUGGAACAUGGGCCAAGGGUGAACCAUGACGAAUUUGUGUUCCAGCAGCCCUGCUUCUUUAGAAUUGACAGUCUGGCUUCGUGGUUAAUUCACAGCAUCUGAGGAAUACAUCCAAAGAGGGUGAUACUGUGGCAUGAUGGUACCAGGAUUCCAAGUUCAUUCCAGAUCAUUGGGUAGAGACUAGAAAUGUACCGAGCAGUGCGCAAAGAAGAUGAGGAGGGUUCUACAGUUUCUCCAGAUACAUACCAUGACAAUUUGUUUUUUUAAAAAAGAAGAAAGCCUGCAGGAAAAAAUCUACAACUUUCAUCAAAUUACUCAGGGAGACUUUAUUCUAAAGAGACUGAAAACGACCAACAUCAAUUUUGACUCCUAUGGGCAUCUGUAAAUAGCUUCAAGGUUUUAAGGUGAAAUGUCAUGUACCAAAAUACACAUUCUGGAGAAGCAGGAAGCUACAGACCAACUUGAGAUGAAAGUCUCAUAUCAAUGUUUUCCCAAGUGUGCUCCUUGGAAUACAGGUUGACAUGAUAUGAUGCCCAGCAAGGGAAACAAAACAUAUUCAUGUUCAAAUUAGUUGGGGAAAUGCUGGACUAAAUAAGGUUUGAUGGGAUUCUUUUUUCUGCAGGACUUCUCAGAAGGGGCUAGAGUAGGCAAAGUUUCCCAGAUUUACCUAAUAAAAGCAUUGUUUCUGUGGGAGUUUCAUUUGUUAUUACAUGUUUCCUGAAUGCAGAUUCAUAGACUAUCCUUUGGGGAACCCUCGUCCUCACGGGAUGUAUGUUCAUGGUGGUGUCUUCGAGUUUGUGCCCUUGUGAAGCAUUCUGGCAGCAAGCAUCUGAACACUUCCAAAAGGGGGCGAUAUUUAGGAGAAAUCGCUCAGCCUGAGUUAGAACAAAUGCAGCUGCUGGUGUCUCUUGGUGCCUGGGAGCCCUAGAGUGUCAGAGGGAGGAGCGUGCACACUGGAACCAGCAGCCUGGUGCUGCGUCUCAGCUCUGUCGCUAACUGGCUAUGCACCUCUGGGCAUGGCACUUAACCCUUCUGAGCCCCAGCCCGCCAUCUGUAAAAAGGGCUUGAUGUGAGGAUUGAAUGAGAUCAUGCAGGGAACACAAUGUCUGGCACUUGGAAGCGUCCACCAUAAAGAGCCAAGGCAGUAGAUGGCCCAGCUGGGUUUGGUCCAGGCAGAGUUUACCCUCUGCCCUGGAGGCUCCAGGAAAUGCUGCCACGUGGCUCCUAUUGCCUUAACCACAUCCGACCUGUUCCUGACAGCUCCCCACAUCUCCAGCUCCUUUGCUGGUGCUCCAGGCACCUCCAAACGUGGCGAGCCCCUCUCCCCUGCCCUCUUGUGGCAGCUGACCUGGCAGGAGUGGGACCAAGACAUCCAAGGCAGCUCCUUUCCACCUGCAUGGGCACUUUCCUCAGGACAUCCUUGCCCCUGGCACCACCUUGGGCCAGCAAGCCACAUGGAAAUGGAUGCAGAGGCACCACUGUUUGCUGACAAUUAUACACUGUCCUUAAGGUCACCCUUGGCGAUCUGUCACCAGGAGCAGACAAACCCACACCUCAACCAUCCCAUCAGAGCUUGUUUCUAUCUGCAUCUGUCAUCGCUGAUCGCAUUUGAAUGGGUUUAGUCU